AGUUUAUUCUAAUGUGAUCAAUAUUAAUUAAAAUAAAGAAUAAAAACCGGACAAUAAAAGAGUUUCAAUGGGAACAAUAUAAUUUAUAGCCAAAUUAUACAAAACCAAGUAUUCGUAAGGGAGUUCAUCGACUCCACCUAACCUAUGAAAAAUAAAUUACAAAGACAAUAAAGAAAAAAACUUUAUUGGCCUUGGAGUUCCUUGGCCCUCCUUGCCUCCUCCUUAGAGUUCUCCUAACUCUCUUUUGAGUAUCACUAUUGUUGAGUGAUUUCUGAAUGAAUAAUAUUGAAGGAGGAAUGUUAUAUUUAUAGUUUUUCAGCUGAGUUUGGGCUUUUUAUGCGCGUCCAUCGCACCCAUCGUGGCCACGAUGACGUGUAAUUUCGCCUCAUCGUGGCCACGAUGGAUCAUAUCGUGGUAUGAUGGAAGAUUUUCUCCAGAAUUUCUGCUUUCUUCAACUGCCUUUUAUCGUGCCACGAUGACAAGUCAUCGUGGUACGAUUGUAUAGAUUUGUUGCAGAU
This 518-nucleotide long non-coding RNA is filed under the name Trifolium pratense (red clover). RNAcentral describes it as "long non-coding RNA (TPRA_LNC004974)". The record is from RNAcentral. Lineage: Eukaryota; Viridiplantae; Streptophyta; Magnoliopsida; Fabales; Fabaceae.